RNAcentral lists this ribosomal RNA (790 nucleotides) under Arenibacter sp. TBL_48. RNAcentral describes it as "bacterial SSU rRNA". It matches the Rfam family "Bacterial small subunit ribosomal RNA", at positions 112 to 905 of the family's 1533-position model. Lineage: Bacteria; Pseudomonadati; Bacteroidota; Flavobacteriia; Flavobacteriales; Flavobacteriaceae. The record is from RNAcentral.
AACGCGUAUAGAAUCUGCCCUGUACUGGGGAAUAGCCCAGAGAAAUUUGGAUUAAUGCCCCAUGGUAUGUAUUAGCGGCAUCGCUUAUACAUUAAAGGCUACGGUACAGGAUGACUAUGCGUCCCAUUAGUUAGUUGGUAAGGUAACGGCUUACCAAGGCAGCGAUGGGUAGGGGCCCUGAGAGGGGGAUCCCCCACACUGGUACUGAGACACGGACCAGACUCCUACGGGAGGCAGCAGUGAGGAAUAUUGGACAAUGGGCGGGAGCCUGAUCCAGCCAUGCCGCGUGCAGGAAGACGGUCCUAUGGAUUGUAAACUGCUUUUGUACGGGAAGAACAAGGGGCACGUGUGCCCCUCUGACGGUACCGUAAGAAUAAGGAUCGGCUAACUCCGUGCCAGCAGCCGCGGUAAUACGGAGGAUCCGAGCGUUAUCCGGAAUCAUUGGGUUUAAAGGGUCCGUAGGCGGGCCAUUAAGUCAGGGGUGAAAGUCUGCGGCUCAACCGUAGAAUUGCCCUUGAUACUGGUGGUCUUGAGUUAUGGUGAAGUAACUAGAAUAUGUAGUGUAGCGGUGAAAUGCAUAGAUAUUACAUAGAAUACCGAUUGCGAAGGCAGGUUACUAACCAUAUACUGACGCUGAUGGACGAAAGCGUGGGGAGCGAACAGGAUUAGAUACCCUGGUAGUCCACGCCGUAAACGAUGGAUACUAGCUGUCCGGAUGCAAAUCUGGGCGGCCAAGCGAAAGUGAUAAGUAUCCCACCUGGGGAGUACGUCCGCAAGGAUGAAACUCAAA